AGCGAACGCUGGCGGCAGGCUUAACACAUGCAAGUCGAGCGGGCACUUCGUUGUCAGCGGCAGACGGGGGAGUAACACGUGGUAACGUACCCUUUGGUUCGGAAUAACGCUGGGAAACUAGCGCUAAUACCGGAUACGCCCCUUUGGGGAAAGGCGUGCUGCCGCAGGAUCGGCCCGCGUCUGAUUCGCUAGUUGGUGGGGUAAUGGCCUACCAAGGCGAGGAUCAGGACCUGGUCUGAGAGGAUGAUCCGCCACACUGGGACUAGGACACGGCCCAGACUCCUACGGGAGGCAGCAGUGGGGAAUAUUGGAGAAUGGGCGCAAGCCUAAUCCAGCCAUGCCGCGUGAGUGAUGAAGGCCUUAGGGUUGUAAAGCCCUUUUGUCCGGGACGAGAAUGACGGUACCGGAAGAAUAAGCCCCGGCUAACUUCGUG
RNAcentral lists this ribosomal RNA (433 nucleotides) under uncultured bacterium. RNAcentral's name for it is "partial 16S ribosomal RNA". It matches the Rfam family "Bacterial small subunit ribosomal RNA", at positions 29 to 507 of the family's 1533-position model. The record is from RNAcentral.